UUCUCAGCCUGAUUGCCUUUUGCUUACUAAGAACAGCAACUGAUUUCUAUUGGACAACUGUGUAAUUGUGUGGUGGUGUAGGGAACAACCAUUAUACUCCAAUUCCUUCAUCUGGUAAACGGGAACAUGAGUGUAUGGGAAUUGCUAAGUCACAGCCUGAACCAAUGAGUGAGCACUUUGUGAAGAGACACAGCCUGCCCUGGGAACACAGGUGAAAGCAAUUCACCUGUGCCACAGAAAGGGUGGAACCAGGUUCCACCCCUAAGCCUCAUUUAAGGACUGGUUGCCACCUGGGAACACUCUCUGUCUGGCGAUCCUUUCUUCUGGGUUAUUUGGUGGGUCCUGUUCCUCAGGAUAGGUGAGCAAAUCUUUCUUUGACUGGAUUGUGACUAUCACUCUUUUUUGAGUAAUUUAGAACUGGUUGUCUGCCAUUGCCUUUCCAUACAAUUACUUCUAUUUCUCAGAGGCUCAAUUUAGAGUUUAAUAAUCGGCUAACAAAUUCACAAAGCCACUUUAAUUUCAUCUUCAGCUCUUGUGUUACUCUCCUUCCUGAACUCAAUAGCGGCAUCACAAGAUAAAAUGGGAUGUGCCCUACCAGCCCCUAUGAUAUCAGAAACAGCAAAUACACUGUCCGAAGGCUGUAGACUGCCAACGCUAAAGAUACAAGCUGCAGUAACUUGCAUGAUGAGCCACAGUGUCUGUCAGGCAAAAGCAGCUUCCCUUUGAAGAUGGCGUCAGCUUCCUGUUCUAUGACAGAAAAACUCCCAAUAGGCUCCCGGAAGAGCAUUCGAAUCUAUUAACAUUAUACAUAUACGUUCAUAUAUAUUUUAAAACUUGUAUUUAAAGUAGAGGGAAGUUUAACACAAUUUCUUGACUUGAUUGAAAGAUAAAUGGAAUGUAAUUGAUAUAAAAGUUUUUGUUGGUGUGCUGCUGUUUGUUUUGAUUUAGGAAAGGAAUGAAUCGCACAAAAAGACUUGAGAAAGCUUUUGGUCAAUGUAUUCUAAUAUAAGUUCAAAAGCAUAGUGCAGUUCUCUGUUCUUUACCUCUUCUUGCCAUCUUGGUACUGCUGCGAAGGGCUGUUGAUAUCUUGAACUGAGUUGCAUGGACAAGAAAAGAACAAAAUGGAUGGGACUUCAAGAGAACGGGAAAUCUGGAGAAAUCUCUUUUGCAAUUUGACAUGAAGGAGCAUGCUUUUAUCUCUCUCCACAUAUAUGAAGUUCAGAAAGGGAUUUCUCUUUCUCAUAGAUGUCAGUGUGUUUUAAAUGCUUGAAAAACAAACAAACCCAACCCUAAAAAAAAAAUUGAAAAAAUCAUGAUUUAGGGAACAAUUCUCAUUUUUUGUUAUUGGCUUAGAAAGUAGUUGAGCAAGUAAGUUUAAAU
RNAcentral lists this long non-coding RNA (1380 nucleotides) under Numida meleagris (helmeted guineafowl). Its description in RNAcentral is "lncRNA (ENSNMEG00000010507.1)". Lineage: Eukaryota; Metazoa; Chordata; Aves; Galliformes; Numididae. The record is from RNAcentral.